UGCAAGUCGAACGAGAAAGUGGAGCAAUCCAUGAGUAAAGUGGCGCACGGGUGAGUAACACGUGACUAACCUACCCUUGAGUGGGGAAUAACUUCGGGAAACCGAGGCUAAUACCGCAUAACACCUACGGGUCAAAGGAGCAAUUCGCUUAAGGAGGGGGUCGCGGCAGAUUAGUUAGUUGGCGGGGUAAUGGCCCACCAAGACGGUGGUCUGUAUCCGGCCUGAGAGGGCGCACGGACACACUGGAACUGAAACACGGUCCAGACUCCUACGGGAGGCAGCAGUGGGGAAUUUUGCGCAAUGGGGGAAACCCUGACGCAGCAACGCCGCGUGGAGGAUGAAGUCCCUUGGGACGUAAACUCCUUUCGAUCGGGACGAUUAUGACGGUACCGGAAGAAGAAGCCCCGGCUGACUUCGUGCCAGCAGCCGCGGUAAUACGAGGGGGGCGAGCGUUGUUCGGAAUUAUUGGGCGUAAAGGGCGCGUAGGCGG
Molecule: ribosomal RNA, 490 nt
Filed under: uncultured Fibrobacteres/Acidobacteria group bacterium
Lineage: Bacteria; Pseudomonadati
Description: bacterial SSU rRNA
Rfam family: Bacterial small subunit ribosomal RNA
Source: RNAcentral